GCCCGCAUAGCUCAGUCGGUAGAGCAUCAGACUUUUAAUCUGAGGGUCGCGGGUUCAAGUCCCUCUGUGGGCG
RNAcentral lists this transfer RNA (73 nucleotides) under Octopus vulgaris (common octopus). It matches the Rfam family "tRNA". Rfam says of the family: Transfer RNA (tRNA) molecules are approximately 80 nucleotides in length. The record is from Rfam by way of RNAcentral. RNAcentral also lists the same sequence under 1 other name. Lineage: Eukaryota; Metazoa; Mollusca; Cephalopoda; Octopoda; Octopodidae.